This 429-nucleotide ribosomal RNA is filed under the name Actinomycetes bacterium. RNAcentral describes it as "Actinobacteria bacterium partial 16S ribosomal RNA". It matches the Rfam family "Bacterial small subunit ribosomal RNA", at positions 355 to 776 of the family's 1533-position model. The record is from RNAcentral. Lineage: Bacteria; Bacillati; Actinomycetota; Actinomycetes.
UAGGGAAUCUUCCGCAAUGGGCGAAAGCCUGACGGAGCAACGCCGCGUGAGUGAUGAAGGUCUUCGGAUCGUAAAACUCUGUUAUUAGGGAAGAACAAAUGUGUAAGUAACUAUGCACGUCUUGACGGUACCUAAUCAGAAAGCCACGGCUAACUACGUGCCAGCAGCCGCGGUAAUACGUAGGUGGCAAGCGUUAUCCGGAAUUAUUGGGCGUAAAGCGCGCGUAGGCGGUUUUUUAAGUCUGAUGUGAAAGCCCACGGCUCAACCGUGGAGGGUCAUUGGAAACUGGAAAACUUGAGUGCAGAAGAGGAAAGUGGAAUUCCAUGUGUGGCGGUGAAAUGCGCAGAGAUAUGGAGGAACACCAGUGGCGAAGGCGACUUUCUGGUCUAUAACUGACGCUGAUGUGCGAAAGCGUGGGGAUCAAACAGG